Molecule: transfer RNA, 88 nt
Filed under: Salmo salar (Atlantic salmon)
Lineage: Eukaryota; Metazoa; Chordata; Actinopteri; Salmoniformes; Salmonidae
Rfam family: tRNA (bases 6-83)
About the family: Transfer RNA (tRNA) molecules are approximately 80 nucleotides in length.
Source: Rfam by way of RNAcentral
CCCUAUGGCUCAGUUGGUAGAGCAUGGUGUUUGCAACGCCAGCAUGGUGUGUGCAACGCCAGGGUUGUGGGUUCGAUUCCCACAGGGG